Molecule: ribosomal RNA, 459 nt
Filed under: uncultured bacterium
Lineage: Bacteria
Description: partial 16S ribosomal RNA
Rfam family: Bacterial small subunit ribosomal RNA
Source: RNAcentral
CCUACGGGAGGCAGCAGUGAGGAAUAUUGGUCAAUGGGCGGUAGCCUGAACCAGCCAAGUAGCGUGCGGGAUGAAGGCCCUACGGGUCGUAAACCGCUUUUGCACGGGGAUAACACCCUCCACUUGUGGAGGUCUGCAGGUACCGUGCGAAUAAGGGCCGGCUAAUUCCGUGCCAGCAGCCGCGGUAAUACGGAAGGCCCGAGCGUUAUCCGGAUUCAUUGGGCUUAAAGGGAGCGUAGGCGGGCGUUAAAGUCAGCUGUAAAAUUGCGCGGCUCAACCGCGCCCGGCAGUUGAUAAUGGACGCCUUGAGUUCACAACAGGCAGGCGGAAUUCGUGGUGUAGCGGUGAAAUGCAUAGAUAUCACGAGGAACCCCGAUUGCGAAGGCAGCCUGCCGGGGUGCGACUGACGCUGAGGCUCGAAGGUGCGGGUAUCAAACAGGAUUAGAUACCCCAGUAGUC